AACGAACGCUGGCGGCAUGCCUAACACAUGCAAGUCGAACGAGACCUUCGGGUCUAGUGGCGCACGGGUGCGUAACGCGUGGGAACCUGCCCUUAGGUUCGGAAUAACUCCCCGAAAGGGGUGCUAAUACCGGAUAAUCUCUUCGGACCAAAGAUGUAUCGCCUUUGGAUGGGCCCGCGUUGGAUUAGCUGGUUGGUAGGGUAAAAGCCUACCAAGGCGACGAUGCAUAGCUGGUCUGAGAGGAUGAUCAGCCACACUGGGACUGAGACACGGCCCAGACUCGUACGGGAGGCAGCAGUGGGGAAUAUUGGACAAUGGGCGAAAGCCUGAUACAGCAAUGCCGCGUGAGUGAUGAAGGCCUUAGGGUUGUAAAGCUCUUUUACCCGGGAUGAUAAUGACAGUACCGGGAGAAUAAGCUCCGGCUAACUCCGUG
RNAcentral lists this ribosomal RNA (433 nucleotides) under uncultured bacterium. Its description in RNAcentral is "partial 16S ribosomal RNA". It matches the Rfam family "Bacterial small subunit ribosomal RNA", at positions 29 to 507 of the family's 1533-position model. The record is from RNAcentral.